Molecule: ribosomal RNA, 669 nt
Filed under: uncultured Burkholderia sp.
Lineage: Bacteria; Pseudomonadati; Pseudomonadota; Betaproteobacteria; Burkholderiales; Burkholderiaceae
Description: bacterial SSU rRNA
Rfam family: Bacterial small subunit ribosomal RNA
Source: RNAcentral
CAUUUCCUUAGUAACGUAGCUAACGCGUGAAGUUGUCCGCCUGGGGAGUACGGUCGCAAGAUUAAAACUCUAAGGAAUUGACGGGGACCCGCACAAGCGGUGGAUGAUGUGGAUUAAUUCGAUGCAACGCGAAAAACCUUACCUACCCUUGACAUGGUCGGAACCCUGCUGAAAGGUGGGGGUGCUCGAAAGAGAACCGGCGCACAGGUGCUGCAUGGCUGUCGUCAGCUCGUGUCGUGAGAUGUUGGGUUAAGUCCCGCAACGAGCGCAACCCUUGUCCUUAGUUGCUACGCAAGAGCACUCUAAGGAGACUGCCGGUGACAAACCGGAGGAAGGUGGGGAUGACGUCAAGUCCUCAUGGCCCUUAUGGGUAGGGCUUCACACGUCAUACAAUGGUCGGAACAGAGGGUUGCCAAGCCGCGAGGUGGAGCCAAUCCCAGAAAACCGAUCGUAGUCCGGAUCGCAGUCUGCAACUCGACUGCGUGAAGCUGGAAUCGCUAGUAAUCGCGGAUCAGCAUGCCGCAGUGAAUACGUUCCCGGGUCUUGUACACACCGCCCGUUACACCAUGGGAGUGGGUUUCACCAGAAGUAGGUAGCCUAACCGCAAGGAGGGCGCUUACCACGGUGGGAUUCAUGACUGGGGUGAAGUCGUAACAAGGUAACCAAUCG